Molecule: ribosomal RNA, 440 nt
Filed under: uncultured bacterium
Lineage: Bacteria
Description: partial 16S ribosomal RNA
Rfam family: Bacterial small subunit ribosomal RNA
Source: RNAcentral
CCUACGGGUGGCAGCAGUGGGGAAUAUUGCACAAUGGGGGCAACCCUGAUGCAGCGACGCCGCGUGUAGGAAGAAGUCUUUCGGUAUGUAAACUUCUAUCAGCAGGGAAGAAAAUGACGGUACCUGACCAAGAAGCCCCGGCUAACUACGUGCCAGCAGCCGCGGUAAUACGUAGGGGGCAAGCGUUAUCCGGAUUUACUGGGUGUAAAGGGAGCGUAGGCGGUGAUGCAAGUCAGAAGUGAAAGCCCGCAGCUCAACUGCGGGACUGCUUUUGAAACUGUAUGACUAGAUUGCAGGAGAGGGAAGUAGAAUUCCUAGUGUAGCGGUGAAAUGCGUAGAGAUUAGGAGGAACACCAGUGGCGAAGGCGGCUUACUGGACGGUAAAUGACGCUGAGGCGCGAAAGCGUGGGGAGCAAACAGGAUUAGAUACCCUAGUAGUC